This 238-nucleotide ribosomal RNA is filed under the name uncultured bacterium. RNAcentral describes it as "partial 16S ribosomal RNA". It matches the Rfam family "Bacterial small subunit ribosomal RNA", at positions 118 to 347 of the family's 1533-position model. The record is from RNAcentral.
UGGGUAAUCUGCCCUCGAUUCUGGGAUAGCCCGGGGAAACCCGGAUUAAUACCGGAUAGCCUCUCGAGCUUUCGAGCUCGUGAGAAAAGGUAGCUUCGGCCUCCGAUCGAGGAUGAGCCCGCGGCGGAUUAGCUUGUUGGUGGGGUAAUGGCCUACCAAGGCGACGAUCCGUAGCUGGUCUGAGAGGACGAUCAGCCACACUGGGACUGAGACACGGCCCAGACUCCUACGGGAGCAG